AUGGAGAGGCGUAGCGGCGUGAGCGUGAGCCUUGUUCUUGGCCUCCUGCUCGCCACCACCGUUGCUUGCCAUGGUGCGAGGGACAUCCCAGCAACUGAGCCCGAGUCCUACCGUCCCCAUAACGUCUUUGGGUUCGGUGGUUUCUACCCUGGCCCGUCCGUCAACUGGGUGUUUCCGGGGCCAAACGGCGUCACACCACAGGUAGGCUUCGGCGGGAUGCCGGGCUCUAGCUCCUUCCCUGGCACUAGUGGCUCGUCCGGCAGCAGUGGCGUGGUCGGCAUUCAUGGUGCUGCCAAUCCCUGA
Molecule: ribosomal RNA, 303 nt
Filed under: Triticum aestivum (bread wheat)
Lineage: Eukaryota; Viridiplantae; Streptophyta; Magnoliopsida; Poales; Poaceae
Description: partial small subunit ribosomal RNA
Source: RNAcentral